Lepidothrix coronata (blue-crowned manakin) is the source of this 4779-nucleotide long non-coding RNA. RefSeq lists it as uncharacterized. The transcript has 2 exons. The record is from RefSeq and is a predicted model, not a curated record. NCBI's taxonomy places the organism in Eukaryota, Metazoa, Chordata, Aves, Passeriformes, Pipridae.
CGGCCCCGGCGGGCAGCGCGCUGCGGGAGAACGGGGUCGGGCCGGCCGUGCCCCCCGGCCUGGGCACCGCUGAGCAAAGGGACACUCAGAGCUUCGAGACUCACAUACAAGAAACAAAUUGAAUCUCACAAGCUGACGUUCCGUGAGAAGGCCAAGGCUCGCACAGACCACGGAGCUGAAAUCGUCGUCUCCAAACCCCCCAACCUUUCCAGCAGCACCUCCCCCCGGCGCAGCACCUCUGCCAGCGAGAGCCUGGGCUCCGGCGCCUCCCCGUCACCGCUGCCACGGCCGGCUGGCCCCGCCGCGCCCUCCCAGCAAGGCUUGUGACCCCCCGGCCCCGCUCCACCGCCCCGAGGACCCAGCUUGGCUCUCUUGACCCGGCCUCUGGCUUUAGGUGGGAAGGGACAGCGUUCCGCAGGGCCGGGGCCGCUCCUGCUCCCCGGGGCGUCCCGGGGGCUCGGCCCUGCCCGGGCUCGGGGGUCCCUCCGUGGCUGGAAAGGGGUUUCCCUCCCUCUCCGUGCCCCGUCCCGUUGGCUUUGGGGGGUCACUCCAGCGGUGGUGUCGCGUCGGGGCCGGGGUCGAGCGGCUCCAGGGCCGUUCCAGUGUAGGGAUGUGCCGGGGGCUGAAGCCAGGCCAGAGUUAACAGGGAUAAGCUGUGAUCUUUCUUUCUGUCUCUUUUUUUUACCCCCUUUCCCUCCUCACCGCUUCAGUUGGAUGCUGAUAUAAACCCUCCACACUCGUUAGGCUGUUUUAACUGUUGACUUGAACCUUUUAUUCUUUGUGACGACGUGUUGAUGAUUUAUUGUGCUACGAGCCCCGUGCUAAGUUUCCUUUUCUCUUUCCUUCCUUCCCACCCCGUAGGAGAGUAGGGACAUUAACCGCUGCUGCCGUGCUGGCUUCUUACUGACAUAUCCAGCCAUUGUAACUUCCUUGUUGUUGUUUGGGGUUUCUUUCAAUAUUUCGAACCGAUGGAGCGAGUUCAUGGGAUUUAAGCCAUGUCUGGAACGAGAGGCACAGGGAUGUGUUAAAGGCGAACUUGCUGUGAGAGCUCAGGUGGAGCCUGUGUUGACCUCUAGGAGAUGCUCAUAGACCCUCCCCCGGGGGGUGCCCGGGGCCUCCUGCGUGUCAGCGAGGGAAAGGUGGUUUAUUUAUUCACUGGCACGGCCGGAGCCCUGGGAUUCAUCCCGGUUUUCCAGGGCCGAGGGCUGCGGGGAGGCAGGAGGCUGCCGUGGCUGGUUGAGGCAGGCCGGGAGUCCGAGGCUGAAGCAGGUCCUGGGGUGUGAGGGAUGUGUGUGUGUGUGGGUGUGUGUGUGGUUUUAGCGAGGCUGAUGGAUGGGGACCGUCGGGAUGAGCAGGAAAGGGCAGUGCCCGUCCCGGGAUGGGCAGCGAGCCGGGAGCCCUGGGCUGGGCAGCGGGGCAGGGUUAGUGCCAGGGAGUUGCAGCUCUGACUAGGAAGGAGAUUUUUCCCACUCUUGGAGCUCCUCGUUUCGUGUUGCAAAUGACACUAAAGAAAUGAAAUGUAAAUAAAUUAAAACAGGAAAGAAAAAAAAAAGUGUUCUUGGGUGGUCAAACUAAUUUAAAGAGAAAAAAAAAAAACAAAGAAAAGCGGAAUAGCAAAACACUGGGAUCAAAGAGAACUGAACCAGGCUGUGCUAAGGGGGGGCUGCUCCAGGAGGGGACAGAGGGAAGCCUGCAGCUUCUCAUGCUUGUGGGAAUAUUUCUUUGGGAAGCCGACAAUGACACGAUAACCCGGAAUCUGUAUUUACACACAAAGAUUCUUAUUGCACUUGUAUUUUUUAUAUUAAAGUUUGCAUGAUUUCUAAUAAAAUGGCAUUAAAAUGUACUAGUUUGCAUCAAAGUCGUCUGGUAGUUUCAUAAGUGCUUUUUGCUCUGAAUACAAAUUGAAACAAUGCAGAUUUGCACCUGAAAGGGGCGGUUAUAUAUACCCUGGAGCCCUCCCAGUGCUUCCUUCCCUUCCUCUUCCUCCACUUCUUCCUCUUCCUUCUCCUCUUCCUCCUCCUCCUCCUCCUCCUCCUCCUCCCCCUCCUCCCCAUCUCUCCGCUCCCUCUGUGCCGAAUCCCUUUGAUCCCAAACAGGGAACGUGCCAUCGCUCCCUGCCCUCCUGUUGUCUGUGUGUGCUCCCAGCGUUCCCAGCACUGAUCCCAGCCCUGGCUCCGCAAGGAGAAGCUGGAGCUGGGGCCGGGACCCCGUUUCUCCGGCCCCGAGCCGGUGCUGCCUGUCCCCCGUGUCCCACCCCGGUAUAUAUCACUGCCCUCCCGCUGGCGCUUCCUUCUUUCUCUUACUGCUAAAUUCUAAACACCAGCUUCAGCUUGUCAGUCUUGGCUUUGGUUUGGUUUCUUUUUUUCCAACACUUGAAUCCAGGGGAAGUUUGGAGGAGAGGGACUGAGGAGAGGAGAGGAGCAGGCCGAGCCCCUGGGCAGGACGGGGCAGGGGCCGUGUGUUUCCCAAGCAAUAACGUCCGUGUGCUCCGGGCCGGGGCUGGCAGGGGCUGGUGUGAGGGUCCUGGGCCUGCACGGUGAGCCUGGAGCCUGGUUUCCCUGCCUGGAUCCCGGCUUCCCUGCCUGGAGCCUGGUUUCCCUGCUUGUGACCCACCAACACGGGCUGGGAAGGGCUGGAGCCGCCCUCCAGGCUCACCGAGCUGGCAGCAGGGUUUGUGCCGAUGGGCAGCGGCCGGAGAUGCUCGUGGGUAACCAAAGAGGAGGUGGAGGCUGAGAUGUCGUGUCCCUCUUGCUGCUCUGCCCGGGGCACCCCGGGAGGAGGUUCCCUGAGUGCCCCGGGAUGAGAUUCCCGGGCGGAGGGAGGCAGCCGGGUCCCGGCCGUGGUUCAGGUGCUGCAGGAGGAAGGCAGGUGGCAACAUUGCACUUUAUCUUCUGAGAUUGCAAAAAACAAACAGCAAACGAGCCCCCGUCCCCUGCGAAGGGACAGCGACAUCACCUCUCCCCUGCACUGCUUUUAUCCCAUUUCCCGACUGCCGGGCAGCCCUGGAUGAGGAUUUGGCACCCAGGCCUGUCCCUGCCCGACACAGCCCCCGGCCCAGCUGCCCCCACCGGCCUGUGCUUCUGUGCCACUUCUCUAACACUUGUUGUGCCUGUGUUUAGCUGACGAACUAAAUCCGGAUACAUUAGUUUGCUGUGGUGUUUCUAGGACAGCUUCAGUUUUAAUAUGGAUUUCUUUUUUUGUAUUUUCUCUUGAGGAAGCGGCUGUACAUAUUGCUGGGAAGGAGCCGUGUGUGCUGGAAAUGGCUUUUCCUUUCUGGAGAGGUGGGAUGAGCUGGGUGGUGCAGAGACCUGCAGAGACGCUGCCGGGUGGGAGGGGGCCGGCAGCUCCACCGAGGGCUGGAGGCAGCAAAUUUGGGAAAAAAUAGGAGUUGUGGUCUGAAUUAGAUGCAAGUUGAAUGUACACGUUCCUGUCCUGAGCUGGCGCUGGGGGGUCCUGGCUUUGCAGGGGUGGCUGAGCUGAGCUGGGCUCAGGCUGGGCUGGAGGCUCAGCAAAGCCCUUCCCAGAGCUCAGGAUGAGGGUUUGGAGGUGUCUGAGCUGCUGAAGGGAUGGGGAGGGAGCAGGGCCGGGUGGGAGCUCCAUCCCAGCUGGGGUCCCUCCAGGCAGGAGCCUCCCCCCUUUCCGGAGCCUGGUGUCUCCCUGCAUAUCAGUGGCAUAUACAGUUACUUCGGGCUUUUUAUACUGUUAAACAAGUACAUUCAAGUAACAAGUUUGUGGGCUUGAGGCCACGGGAGCGGCGGCUCCGCUGCUGCCCCGGGCCGUGGCUCCCGUGGGUCGGGUCCUGACCGCAAACUGAAUGUAGUUUUCUACGCUGACCCCCGGUGUUGUCCCCGCGUAGUGUCGGUGCGAGGGGGGCUCUGGGACCCCCCCGCGUUUGCGUCGUUUAGGCAGAAUUUCUAGUUUUCUUGGAGCUUGGUGGCAGUGACACCCUCGGGGGGACGGGGCGUCCCCGAGGGAAGGGCCGAGCCCCGGGAGCCGCUCCCGGCUGUCCAAAGGCAGGAGCUGGGGGGCCCGGCGGCCUCCGGGCUUGGGAGGAAUGUCCCCCCCGAGCCCUCCCGGCCCCGGGACCCUGCGGGUGGGGCGGGAAACGGCUCCGGGAGGCAGCAGUGGGAAUGCCCGGGCUCUCCUUCCUCCUCCCCACUGAACUCCGGCCGGGUGAGCGUUUCCCCCUCCCUCCCCCGAGUCUCGGCGGCCGCCGGCCGGUGUCUGGGGCAGGAUCAGACACGAGCCUCCAUCGCGUGCUCGUCCCACCUUCGGCAUCACCUGCAGCUUCCAUUGCCCGCACCGUAGGAACACCGACCGGGACCGAGGGGGGUCGGACACGGGACGGGGUGAGCAGAGCCCAGCCCGGAGGGUGGUCCCGGCUCCGGGCUCCCUCCUCGGUCCCGGGAAGCCACUAAACCUCUCUGCCUCAGCUCCCCCCUCGCGGGGGUGACACUCUUUACCUCACCGGGCUGUCGUGAGGCGUGAGCAGCGUGUGACGUGUUCUCAGUGUGACGUGUUCCUGUUGUUUGUGUCAUAGGGUUGUUUGCGGGGCUGUCCCCGGGCAGGGGGAGGUCAGUGCUUGGUGUGAGACCACAGCUCCGGGGGGUGGGCUGGGGCAGAGCCCCCCUGCCUGGGGGGACCCACCCGUUUGGUUCUGCCUUUGUGUCUCACCCUCCCCGAGGGGCUGUAAGACCGUCGUCUCCUUAGCAACAUUUCCUGACUUGAUGUUGUGAUUCUUACUAUUGUAAAGGGUUGAAAUAAAGCUUCUAGAUGUUC